AUGAUUGAGCCUGGCUAUUUCAAGACUGCUGUGACCAGUAAAGAGAGAUUCUUAAAGAGCUUCCUGGAGAUUUGGGACGGUCCAGCCCAGAGGUCAAGCAGAUCUAUGGCCAGAAGUUCGUUGCAUCCUAUAAGAAAUCAGCUGAACAAUUGGAGCAGACUUGCAGGAUUUGUCAUGGUGACCAGCACAGCAGAACAUCACGCUGGUGCCUGCCACCCCUUUUCGCUACUCAGUAGCUGGGAUGCCAAGCCUCCUACCUCCCAAAGGCACAUGCCACCCACCUUCCUGGUGGUGCCAUUAUCUACUGGGGUUCUCCAAGCCAGCCAGGAGCUCUAUGAAAAUGAGGAUCAGGUGCAUGGUUGCAUGGAUUUGGGGUGUGCUUUAUGAGGGGUGAUGUAUCUUGGGAGAAAUAAAGUGGGCGGGCCGUUGUGCAUCAGGUCAGUGGGGCUGAUCUCACUUCUUCUACCUCCCUGUCCACGUUUUCUCCUGGAGAUAAUUCUGCUCUCUGAAGAUGUUGGUAGGAAAGUUUCAAGUUAAGCAGCUGAGAAACAGGAACCAAAUAGUGCUCCUGGGUGCAUUGUCAUGUUAGGUGGCCACUCAAGGGUCCAAGCCUCUUGUGCUAACAACUGGGGUGGGUGUGAGCAGGUGGAAGGAGCCUCAGCCCAUGCCAUUACCAUGCCCAUAGGCAAUAUGUUAAUUCUGGGCCAGUCUGGUGUGAGUUGGAAAUGGCUGGGACGUGGGGGACACAUGCUCAUGAAGAUCCUGUGGGACGGGCAGCCAUUUAUGGCUACAUAGGCCUCACGAGUCAUCCCAGCAGCAGUGGCUGGAAGGUGGUGUCCUCAGUAGGGAUCUGUGCAGAGGACAAAUAAAUCAGUUUUUUAUUUGUCUUGAAAGCAUGCACUUCCUUUGAUUGUUUUGAUGUUGAAAAAGUUGAUAGUUUCACCCAUAUGCAGUGAUUUGAAUGUUCUUGUGAAGUUACACUUGGAUACCAGACACAUGAGAUUGCAAUCCCUCUCUGAGUCUGGGUUCCCGCCUUUGCUCAGGACCCAGAAUCACUCCAUCCAGAAAUCCAGGUCACUGUGAGCCUCUCUAGGACUACAAGUCGAAGGCAGAAAAGAGUGAGCAGAAUGAUCUCCUCUAAUGGAAUUCUCUGCUGAAGGAGCAAAGUCCCAACAGGAAGUCUAUC
This 1186-nucleotide long non-coding RNA is filed under the name Papio anubis (olive baboon). RNAcentral describes it as "lncRNA (ENSPANG00000050951.1)". Lineage: Eukaryota; Metazoa; Chordata; Mammalia; Primates; Cercopithecidae. The record is from RNAcentral.